RNAcentral lists this unclassified non-coding RNA (168 nucleotides) under uncultured Geastrum. Its description in RNAcentral is "sequence contains ITS1". Lineage: Eukaryota; Fungi; Basidiomycota; Agaricomycetes; Geastrales; Geastraceae. The record is from RNAcentral.
CUGAAAGAUAAUAGGGUUUUGAGACUACAUCUUAAUUGGUGUGUGCUCGACUCUUACUCUUUUAAUCCACAUACACCUUUUGUGCACUAUGGGACGAUUAAAAGUCCCCUUUAUUUACAUAAACACUUAGUUAUAUGCAUGUAUUUUAAUACUCUAUGGAGUAAUGUA